GGGGGGAGGGCUACCAUGCAGUCGAGCGGAUGAGAGGAGCUUGCUCCUCGAUUCAGCGGCGGACGGGUGAGUAAUGCCUAGGAAUCUGCCUAGUAGUGGGGGACAACGUUUCGAAAGGAACGCUAAUACCGCAUACGUCCUACGGGAGAAAGUGGGGGAUCUUCGGACCUCACGCUAUUGGAUGAGCCUAGGUCGGAUUAGCUAGUUGGUAGGGUAAAGGCCUACCAAGGCGACGAUCCGUAACUGGUCUGAGAGGAUGAUCAGUCACACUGGAACUGAGACACGGUCCAGACUCCUACGGGAGGCAGCAGUGGGGAAUAUUGGACAAUGGGCGAAAGCCUGAUCCAGCCAUGCCGCGUGUGUGAAGAAGGCCCUCGGGUCGUAAAGCACUUUAAGUUGGGAGGAAGGGCUCAUAGCGAAUACCUGUGAGUUUUGACGUUACCAACAGAAUAAGCACCGGCUAACUUCGUGCCAGCAGCCGCGGUAAUACGAAGGGUGCAAGCGUUAAUCGGAAUUACUGGGCGUAAAGCGCGCGUAGGUGGCUUGAUAAGUUGGAUGUGAAAUCCCCGGGCUCAACCUGGGAACUGCAUCCAAAACUGUCUGGCUAGAGUGCGGUAGAGGGUAGUGGAAUUUCCAGUGUAGCGGUGAAAUGCGUAGAUAUUGGAAGGAACACCAGUGGCGAAGGCGACUACCUGGACUGACACUGACACUGAGGUGCGAAAGCGUGGGGAGCAAACAGGAUUAGAUAC
This 749-nucleotide ribosomal RNA is filed under the name Ectopseudomonas oleovorans. RNAcentral's name for it is "bacterial SSU rRNA". It matches the Rfam family "Bacterial small subunit ribosomal RNA", at positions 38 to 785 of the family's 1533-position model. The record is from RNAcentral. Lineage: Bacteria; Pseudomonadati; Pseudomonadota; Gammaproteobacteria; Pseudomonadales; Pseudomonadaceae.